Long non-coding RNA from Anthonomus grandis grandis, 625 nucleotides. RefSeq lists it as uncharacterized. The transcript has 3 exons. NCBI's taxonomy places the organism in Eukaryota, Metazoa, Arthropoda, Insecta, Coleoptera, Curculionidae. The record is from RefSeq and is a predicted model, not a curated record.
GGGUGAUUACUUUUCAAUUUUCUGUUAGAUACUUUAACCUUUGACGGUGUUUCAAAAAUCAUACAAUUGAUACAAAUGUAUUGCCUGGCACCUCGCAUAUUCAAGUUGAUAUUUUGCAGCAUAGUCCAAAAAAUGAUAAACAAUUAAAAACUUAUUCUCGUAAGAGGCUUCACGAAGAUGAGAUUGUCGGUGACCAACAUGAAAAAGUUAAACUUGUACGUUACAGUCCCAGUCCUCAAAGCACACAGACAGUUCCAAAGUUCACUGUAGAUUAUUCAGAUACCCCAUCUUCCACAAAAUCUAAUAUUAAAAAAAAAUCAAGAGUUUUAAGUGUUAAGUUAACUUCAUUAAAAAAAAAGUUUAAAGCUCAAAAAAUAAGUAUUUACGCCUUAAAAAGAAAGCAAAUCUAGUGUCUAAAAAUUUUUUGGCAAAUUUACUUAAAGGAAAAAGUACAGCUGUAAAAACACUAAUUAACAUGCAGUUAUCUCCACGGAGGAAAAAAGUUUGGACGACCAAUGAGCGACAUUUGGCACUUUCUCUUUAUUAUAAGUCGCCUGGAUGUUACAAGUUUUAAAGAGAAAAAUUGUUGUUUUUUUUUGCCAUCGGUUCGUACGAUUCAGUCAUG